Molecule: long non-coding RNA, 4277 nt
Filed under: Homo sapiens (human)
Lineage: Eukaryota; Metazoa; Chordata; Mammalia; Primates; Hominidae
Description: HSALNT0195408
Source: RNAcentral
CAGCUCCCACCACCCAUUUAACCUGUGACACCGUCAUUGGCAGCCAUAGUCAACAAUGAUUUCUUCCUGUAGUUCAUUCAUUUCACAAAUAUUUCUUGAGUAUUUAUUAUGUGCCAAGUAGAUUAAAUAAAAAUUAAUGAGCCUAAGUACUAAGGUAGAGAAAGUACAUGUUUCCUGGCCUUAAUACCUCUCUAGGACCUUUUUAGUCUCCGAUUACCUUAUUUUUUCACAAUGUGUUUAUAUGAUCUUCUGCUCUAGUUUUAUGAGUGUUUGGCUGGCCAGGGAGGAUCCUGAUGUUCUUAAAUAACCUUUCUUUUAUGCCCUUUUCUUCUCUCUUUUCUCUUCUCUGUGAAUUUUUGCUGCCUUAGGCUGUCAAAUAAACACAUUGCUAGGAGGAUCACCUCAACCUGUAGGAACUUCCUUCCUGCCAAGAAGCUGGUUCAUUCAUCACCAAGCAUCAUCAUCAUGGAAUUCUCACCCUGCUGGAGGUUCGAGCCAAGACAUAGAAAGAGGACAUUACCUGGGGCAGGAAUCAAUUGCCUAUCACUGGGGAUGCCUGCAGAUCAUUGUCCAGAGUGGCUGCUGUUCACUGAGUGUUUCCUCUGUGCCGGGCACCUUGCACACCUUAUUUUCAGUCUCCGCAGCUGCCUUGUUGAGGGAACACCACAUCACAAGGUCUGUGGGAGUUGGAGAAAACUCUCGCUGACUCCCUGAAUAUAGUCCCAGUGGGAACCACCUUGGGGAGAGGCUCUGUCCAGCUGAACCCUCCAGUGCACAGUAUGCUUGGCUGCAGAGGCUUGGAGUGAGAGAGGAGACCAGGGUCCAGCUUCUCGGACAGCACUCACUGGGUUCUAGAGGCAAGAAGUCUGGAAUAAGUAUCACUGGGCCAAAAUCAAGGUGUCAGAAGAACUUCACAUCCCCCAAAACCUCCAGGAGAGAAGCCAUUCCUUGCCACUUCCAACUUCUGAGCCUCCAGAUAUUCUUUGACUUGUAUCUGUGUCACGCCAAUCUCUGCCACUGUCUUCACAUGGCCUUCUCUUCUGUGUCUCUCCAAUUUGCCUUUGUAUUUCUCCUAUAAAGACACUAUCAUUGGAUGUAGGGCCUACCUGGAUGAUUGAGAAUGAUCUCCUGUCGAGAUCUGUAAUUAUAUCUAAAAAGGGCCUUUUUCCAAAUGUUACAUGGUGAACAUGUUUCGGGGGAACUAGCAUUCAACCUGCUACAGCGUCCUCUAGCUAGGAAGUGGUAGAAGCAGGACCUAAUGUAGAUCUAGCCACAAUCCCACAUGGAUUGCUUAGACUGCAUCAAUUGUGAAUGACAGACACCCAGUGCAACUUAAGCUUUCUGCAUUGCUGUUGAAUAGGGGGAGGAGGAAAUGGUGGAUACAGAGUCACUGUAGCUGAAGAUGCCAAAGGUAGACAUUUCUAGUUGCAGACAUCAUCUACAUUUUGUGGUCAGGGCUCAAGCCAUCUCUUGGGCAGGCUUUCUUCACCCAGUAGGUGAAAUGUCUUCUGUUAGCUCAACACCCACAGUCCUCUAGUGUGGCCAGUGGAAAGUGACUUCUCUUUCCAUUAACUCAAGAGAAAAAGCCCGAAAAGCUUUGGCCCUGCCAAAAUCACAUCACCCUGGUGAAAUCACAUGAUCAGCCCUAAACCAAUCACUCUAGCCAGGGAGAUCAUUUAUUCAAUAGCAAUAAUAAAUAUAUAUUGAGUACAUUCUAUGUGUCAGGAAUUCUUCAAGAUGUAUAAAAAUACCCCAGCAAACAGAAGACAAAUUCCUACCCUCAUGGAGCUUAUAUUCUAGAGGAAAAUACAGACAAUUAACAUAUAAACAAAUUUUAAAAACUGUCAUUCAAAUUCAGACAGAGAGUAGAGCUAUGUAAUAAAUUAAUUAGGGCAAUGUGCUUAAAAAUGGCCAGAGGUGGUGUGGACUCCUUUAGCCGGUAUGAUCAGUUAAGACCUCUCUGUAGAGGUGGUAGAUGAGGUGCAACUCAAGUCACGGGAGGCAACCGUUUAAAGAUUUGUGGAAGAUCAUUCUAAAUGGAAGGAAUAGCAGGUGCAAAGACAGUGGGGUGGGAACAACCUUAGAGGAACAGAAACAUGGACAGUACAGCUUGACUAUAGUCCAUGAGCAGGAGAGAGUAUGAGAUGGAGUACUUCAGUGGUGAAACUGGGAUCUCAAAACCAAAAUGUGAUUUCCAACCCAUCUGCUCUUUAACUCUUUUCUACACAACCUUGCUCAGGAGAGGUAUGUCUGUCCACCAAGCAUAGGUCUCCUGUGCAUUGUGUCACCCCUCUCACUGCAUGGCUAGAAGAUGUUCUUUGAGCAGCUGGAAGAUUGUAAAUAUGACACCAUCUAUUUGGUGGGUGAUUUUUGCUCCUUCUGGUAUAAGAGGAUAUAAGUGGGGAAAUAGAACAAGAGUUAACAAACUCUGUAAGGUCUCAUUGGAUCUUCACCCUAACUCAAACUUGGUCCAAACAAAACUCUUUGACAAUAUUUAGGUGUGAGUAGGGGAGUUGAUAAAUGAUGUUUUCUCUCUUCUCUUCUUUUUCACUUUUAUACGCCUCUGGGUUGAUGGUUUCUGGCCAAGGCCAGAGGUACUAAAAUACCACAAGAAAGGAGAACUUUGAAGUGAUCAUCUGUUCAGCCAAGAAGGAGGUGGUGCUGCCUGAAGGUUCACCAGGAAUGCGGUCUUCUGGAGCUUUAGACAGAGUUCCUAGGAGGCCCCCAGAGACAGACAGAUGCCUUGGAGUUGAUUUGGAGAAACAUCUGAACUUCUGGAUGGAGUUCUGAGCCGAGCCUGAAACCCUCUGGGAGCCUUCAUUUGCUCCCAGACAAUCCAUGGAAACACCUGUUCCAAGUCUGAGCUGACUGGACCACCGCCUUUGAUUUUGGAAAACUCAGAGACCAGAUCUUGAAUCGUCCUUUCAGAAUGUACUCUGGAAUUCCUUGUUCUUCAGUGCAAAGAUUUAGAUAAAGUUAUCUGACCAUGUGAAUGACAGAUCUGAGAAUGUGAUGACUUUAUUGAUAGGUCCUACUGGACAGUUCCUUGGCCCAGCAGCAUCAGCACCUCCUGGGAUCUUGCUAGAAAUACUAAAUCUCAGGCCCUACCCCAGACCUGCUAUUUUAGAAUCUGUAAUUUAACAAGAUCCCAGUUAAUUAGCAUGCACAUUCCAGUUUGAGAAAAGCGGCACUAAAAAGCUUUGUCAAAUAGGCAGUGUGCUCCCAUUUCUCGGUAUUGUGCCUGUGACAGGCAUCAAUAAUCAACCAGAGAAUCACUUCCUUCUGAGAGCAGAAUAUUCUCAAGUCAUGGUUUCAGGUCGCAGUGACCAAUCAAUGGGAGUUGGAUCAAAAUUAAACCUAUCUUCCAUACUGGUGUCAACACUUGAAGAAAGCUCUUUUAUUUCCACCCAUAUACACAUCAUACAUGCCUGAUAAAUGUUUGUGGAAUGAAUGUGUUUUCCCCUAGCCUUGUUUCCUGUGAUAUUCACACUAUUCCAGUCCAUACCCACAGAAAAUCAGAACUUCACUGGGCAUCUGGGAAGUUCAGCAGCUGUUCUAGGUGUUGGAUUUUGCUAUUGGCCAUGACCCAUUAGAAGGUUGAGGUGAGGUUGGAAAGAUGUUAGGGAUGGAAUGAAGACACUUGGGAACCCAUCUCGCUGUGGCACAUGGACCUCAAACCAUGCAAGUUUUCUUUUUUCUUUCUUUCUUUUUUUCUUUUUCUUGAGAUGGAGUCUUGCUCUGUCUCCCAGGCUGGAGUGCAAGGGCGCGAUCUCGGCUUACUGCACCCUCUGCCUCCCAGGUUCAAGCUACUCUCCUGCCUCAGCCUCCUGAGUAGCUGGGAUUACAGGGGCAUGCCACCAUGCCCAGCUAACUUUUGUAUUUUUAGUAGAGACGGGGUCUCACCAUGUCAGCCAGGCUUGUCUCAAACUCCUGACCUCAGGUGAUCCGCCCACCUCUGCCUCCCAAAGUACUGGGAUUACAGGCGUGAGUCACCAUGCUUGGCCGCAAGUUUUCUUCAGGACAUGGCCCCAUGUAGUCCAGCUCUACAAGGUGGCUGCUGUGUGAACUAGGCUACAUGCCGAAACGGGACUGUCGGGGGAAUCAGCAGGGGGGGCAGACCAACAGCCCUGUAAGACAUAGCAAUAAUGAUUAUAAAUAGCAUCCUUCUGACCGCCUUUUGAUGUACUGUCCAAGGCCAGGUGGAAAAUCUUUCCUCCCCUGCCUUUCCCCACUAAUCACCUUCCCCUCAUUUUUCAAUAAAGAUUCUGAGCCCAGUC